ACGGGAGGCAGCAGUGGGGAAUUCUUCCGCAAUGGGCGAAAGCCUGACGGAGCGACACCGCGUGAAGGAUGAAGCUUUUCGGAGUGUAAACUUCUUUUAUAUGUGAAGAUUAUGACGGUAACAUAUGAAUAAGCACCGGCUAACUACGUGCCAGCAGCCGCGGUAAUA
This 168-nucleotide ribosomal RNA is filed under the name uncultured bacterium. RNAcentral's name for it is "partial 16S ribosomal RNA". It matches the Rfam family "Bacterial small subunit ribosomal RNA", at positions 341 to 525 of the family's 1533-position model. The record is from RNAcentral.